Mercenaria mercenaria is the source of this 2400-nucleotide long non-coding RNA. RefSeq lists it as uncharacterized. The record is from RefSeq and is a predicted model, not a curated record. The transcript has 7 exons. Lineage: Eukaryota; Metazoa; Mollusca; Bivalvia; Venerida; Veneridae.
UUAUCAAGAAGUGAAAUUCAGUAAUCGGCUGUGGAAAAUGUUUGGCUCAGAAGGAUGCGAGGUUCUGGGAAGAAUGUGUUACAUCUCCAGUCAGCAAUAGUGGACAGAGCAUAGAUUACAGGUUUUACAAAUGCUGAAGUUGAGAAGUGAAAUUCAGCAAUCGACUGUGGAAAAAGUUUGGCUCAGAAGGAUGCAAGGUUCUGGGAAGAAUGUGUUACAUCUCCAGUCAGCAAUGGUGGACAGAGCAUAGAUUACAGGUUUUACAAAUGCUGAAGUUGAGGUUUGCAUAUAAGUCUUCUUUUUUAUAUUAAAAUUGAAAUUCUACUUCCAAUUAUUUUGUAAUAUAUAUUUUCUAUUGUACUGUUUAUAUAUAUAUUCCUGGUCAUUCUAUUUCGUUUUGUUUUUUAUUUUUGUUUUGUUUUAAUUUUUCUCUUGGUUCGUAUACUACAUUAUAUUUUGUGUUGAGUAUGUAAAUGUUCAUUUUGGGUUUUUGGUGUUCAUGUUGUGUUAAGUAAGUAAAUGUUCAUUUUGGGUUUUUGGUGUUGUUUAUACAUUCUUUAUCAUUAUCAGUAUGUGUUGUUGUUCUGCUUUGCUUUUUGUUUGAUAUUUUUUCAUCCAUUCAUUUUGUAUUUAGUUUUUAGUUAUUUUGUACAUUUCUAUUUAUAUUGUACUUUUCUUGUUUAAUUUUUUUAGUAUAUUACUUGAAAUAUUUGUUUUUCUUAGAAUUAGUAAGUUUCAUUGAGUUUAAAAGGUUUCAAGGCCAUAUUAAGAAAAUGAUAUGUUGUCUUAAUACAUAAUUUGUUCUUAUUAUCAAGAAGUGAAAUUCAGCAAUCGACUGUGGAAAAUGUUUGGCGCAGAAGGAUGCGAGGUUCUGGGAAGAAUGUGUUAUAUCUCCAGUCAGCAAUGGUGGACAGAGCAUAGAUUACAGGUUUUACAAAUGCUGAAGUUGAGAAGUGAAAUUCAGCAAUCGACUGUGGAAAAGGUUUGGCUCAGAAGGAUGCAAGGUUCUGGGAAGAAUGUGUUACAUCUCCAGUCAGCAAUGGUGGACAGAGCAUAGAUUACAGGUUUUACAAAUGCUGAAGUUGAGGUUUGCAUAUAAGUCUUCUUUUAUAUAUUAAAAUUGAAAUUCUACUUCCAGUUAUUUUGUAAUAUAAAUUUCCUAUUGUACUGUUUAUAUAUAUAUUCCUGGUCAUUCUAUUUCGUUUUGUUUUUUUAUUUUUGUUUUGUUUUAAUUUUUCUCUUGGUUCGUAUACUACAUUAUAUAUUUUGUGUUGAGUAUGUAAAUGUUCAUUUUGGGUUUUGGUGUUCAUGUUGUGUUAAGUAAGUAAAUGUUCAUUUUGGGUUUUUGGUGUUGUUUAUUCAUUCUUUAUCAUUAUCAGUAUGUGUUAUUGUUCUGCUUUGCUUUUUGUUUGAUAUUUUUUCAUCCAUUCAUUUUGUAUUUAGUUUUUAGUUAUUUUGUACAUUUCUACUUAUAUUGUACUUUUCUUGUUUAAUUUUUUUUAGUAUAUUACUUGAAAUAUUUGUUUUUCUUAGAGUUAGUAAGUUUCAUUGAGUUUAAAAGGUUUCAAGGCCAUAUUAAGAAAAUGAUAUGUUGUCUUAAUACAUAAUUUGUUCUUAUUAUCAAGAAGUGAAAUUCAGCAAUCGACUGUGGAAAAUGUUUGGCUCGGAAGGAUGCGAGGUUCUGGGAAGAAUGUGUUACAUCUCCAGUCAGCAAUGGUGGACAGAGCAUAGAUUACAGGUUUUACAAAUGCUGAAGUUGAGAAGUGAAAUUCAGCAAUCGACUGUGGAAAAUGUUUGGCUCAGAAGGAUGCAAGGUUCUGGGAAGAAUGUGUUACAUCUCCAGUCAGCAAUGGUGGACAGAGCAUAGAUUACAGGUUUUACAAAUGCUGAAGUUGAGACAUAAAAGUGUGUUGUGAAGAUGGAUUUCAUCAAUCAUAGUCAACAGUAUGAGUUGUGGACAGAGCAAAGCAAAGAUUACUGAGGAAUAAAGAUCAGCAAUGUGGAGUGGAACUAUUUGGGGUCUAAUGAACAUGUUUAGGAAGACUGGUUAAUAUGAGGUUUAUAUCACCUAUCAGCAAUUGUGGAUAGAGCAAAAAAUACAGAUUUUACAAAUGCUGAAUUUCAGGUGGAGAACUGUGUUGCUGAGUUUUGACUUUAGCCCAGAGAAAUAGAGCAAAAGGCCUGGCAACUCAGCAGCUACCAAAUGCAAAAACACAGAUGCUCAAUUUACAGGUAUUGUUCAUGUGCAUUCACAUGGAGAAACGAGACACUUGGGCAAAAACGAAACUUGACAAAAACACAAAAAGUUACAUUUAAUUAGGCGACAAUCUUUUGAAUUUAAAAAAUUCAAAUGGGUGAACUACUUUAUCAAUUCUUCAAAAAAAAAAAAAAAAAAAAAAA